UUUCCAGCCAGUUGACUAAGAAAGAGUUCUAAUAGUAUUAUGAGUUUUUAUUUGCUUCUGUGUUAUGAUGGAUCCUGUGUUCUACCUGGAAUCCAAAAGUUCAGUGACACAUCACAUAUAAAUAGCAUAUGCCAACUCUAGUCUUUAAAUGAAAUCUUUCCUUUUCCUCUUCUGCCUCACUGUCCACACUCCAGCAUAAAAGCAGAGAGGAUUAAUAAUAUCAAAAAUAAUAUCCGCUAGCAUUUAUUGUAGGCAUACUAUGUUCUAGUCAUUGCACUGAGCACAUUCUGUGUAUUUUAUUAUUUAACUCCCACUAGUUUUCCCAUUUCAUGCCUAGGACUAAGAAAUUCAAGUGACUUGUCCAGAGAAAAAGAGCUGUUAAAAGGUGGAACCUGGCCUGAGGACUCCAAACCGUCUCCUGCCUACCCCCAGGAAGGACACCCUCUGCAGCCAUAUUGGCCAAAUGUUGUUUCCUUGAGGAGCGGGUUCGUGAGGCUUAUGCUGCGAUGCUGUUGAAGUCUCCAGGGAGGUGCUCGUGCCAUCGGAGACCAGCAGCAAUUAGUCCUUCAGAGUGAGGAAGUUUCUCCUGUUCGCUCUAUUCUUUGUGUAGAUUCUAAUAGUUCUUUAACAAAAGGCUUACCUUGUUUUGUUUUUUUUGAAGGACUGAAGUGUACUUACAAUUGCAUUUCAGUCUUUUCAGAAGAGUCUGGCAGACUGAGGAGGCUGGAGAUGGUCGGAGGAACCUGGCUGCAGGGAUGAAAGGCCAGUUUUGACCUUCAGAGGCUCUCAGAGCUCUUACUUUUUAAGAAUCCAUCCCAAGUCAUUCUGACACGUGAAAAUGC
RNAcentral lists this long non-coding RNA (842 nucleotides) under Felis catus (domestic cat). RNAcentral describes it as "lncRNA (ENSFCAG00000043345.2)". Lineage: Eukaryota; Metazoa; Chordata; Mammalia; Carnivora; Felidae. The record is from RNAcentral.